Molecule: small nuclear RNA, 103 nt
Organism: Heterocephalus glaber (naked mole-rat)
Lineage: Eukaryota; Metazoa; Chordata; Mammalia; Rodentia; Bathyergidae
Gene: U2
Rfam family: U2 spliceosomal RNA
About the family: U2 is a small nuclear RNA (snRNA) component of the spliceosome (involved in pre-mRNA splicing). Complementary binding between U2 snRNA (in an area lying towards the 5' end but 3' to hairpin I) and the branchpoint sequence (BPS) of the intron results the bulging out of an unpaired adenosine, on the BPS, which initiates a nucleophilic attack at the intronic 5' splice site, thus starting the first of two transesterification reactions that mediate splicing.
Source: Ensembl
AUUGCUUCUCGGCCUUUUGGCUAAGAUCAAGUGUAGUAUCAUGUAGUGGUACAGAUACCCUAUGAUGAAUGUUAUCAUUAUCUAUGUCUAAAAUGUACCAAUA